This 425-nucleotide ribosomal RNA is filed under the name uncultured bacterium. RNAcentral describes it as "partial 16S ribosomal RNA". It matches the Rfam family "Bacterial small subunit ribosomal RNA", at positions 354 to 796 of the family's 1533-position model. The record is from RNAcentral.
GUGGGGAAUCUUGCGCAAUGGGCGAAAGCCUGACGCAGCCAUGCCGCGUGAAUGAUGAAGGUCUUAGGAUUGUAAAAUUCUUUCACCGGGGACGAUAAUGACGGUACCCGGAGAAGAAGCUCCGGCUAACUUCGUGCCAGCAGCCGCGGUAAUACGAAGGGGGCUAGCGUUGCUCGGAAUUACUGGGCGUAAAGGGCGCGUAGGCGGACAGCUUAGUCAGAGGUGAAAGCCCAGGGCUAAACCUUGGAAUUGCCUUUGAUACUGGCUGUCUUGAGUUUGGGAGAGGUGAGUGGAACUCCGAGUGUAGAGGUGAAAUUCGUAGAUAUUCGGAAGAACACCAGUGGCGAAGGCGACUCACUGGCCCAAUACUGACGCUGAGGCGCGAAAGCGUGGGGAGCAAACAGGAUUAGAAACCCGAGUAGUCC